UACUGCCAGAGGUUCCGUGAUAGGCGUUUCAGGUUUGGUAAGCGGAGGCGGUGGCGGCCGACGUGUGAGCGGCUCGUCGGCGAGUGGCUAGCUCUCGUACGUCGGUGGCACGGACCCGCGCACGCCCCCGUCGGGGCGGCAGGACCCGCGGUCACGCGUGACGGUGGCGGGGAGGUGGAGGUCCCGAUGGUAGGCCACGCGGCGGGCCCCGCCCUUCCGCAGCAGCUCCCCCUUCCUCUUGCAGACCUCGCAUCUGUUGCUUGCGCGGCGGCUCGUCUUCCCAGCCAGGGUUUUCUUGGUGGCGCCCGCCUCCGCGGGCCCUCCCGCGUCGUCCCGCGGGGGCGGCGGCCCCUCAUCCUUCCUCUUACUGCGCCCGAGCUCCCAAGACCAGAGGCCUCGGUACGACCACCUCCAGCUCUGGCACGAGGUCUGGGUCCUUAGACAUAAUUCCGGAAGGACCCUAUGUAAACGCUCAUCGAAUUCACCGCAUACCUUCCCACAGCCUCGACACAAGAGUGGUUAGUGUCGUCUCUACCUUGGACAACCUGAUCCUUCGUUUGUCCUCAUAGAAAUACUAACGAUGUGAGAAAGAGCGUAACUCUUCAGCAUACUAUCACAAGUACCCUGGCUCUAGGUUUCCUUCUGUUUAACCCACGUCGAGUUAGGAGUACCCCUUCGACUCUUCGUCUCACGGUCGCUACUACUUACCUCAGUACCAUAGAGGUCACCCUGACAACUAAAUGGACGCGUACUUAUAAAACUAGAAUUUUUCUCGCUACAUGAACUACUUCUACAAUACUAACUUCUUGGUCCCUAACAUAAAAAACUCCUACCUAGUAUGAGAUCUCCAGGUGAACUAUAUCUUUAGCCGCUUAUACUACUUAGAUUUAUGAAGGAGAGUGGUUGCAUAGUCAAACUCGUUUCAGACCAGUUUCCUACGGUGUUUUCUGACGCAUAACACGUAUGGUAACUUAAGUUACUUCCUCCUCGCUUAUAUGUUUGGCAUUCCCAACGACACAUACUUCUUUUUACCCGAUCGGGUCGUUUAUAGGUACAACUUCUAUAAUGGGGACAACUGCAGUCUGGAAAGAGAGUUUCUUUCGCCUGCUUUGGUAGUCUUAACUGUCCGGGGACCUUUCAUAUACUUCAGUCACGUUGUGGUUAAAAGUCACUCUUUCAUUUUCUUUAUCUCCCACCUCGGCGGAAACAUAUGAACACGUACCUCUGGUACUUCUUCUCUUGGAACGGUCUCUCGAGACAAAAGAAGCCCCUCCUCCUCUACGAGCUAUACGUUCUGCACUGAUAUGAAACCAACGGACCUCCGCAGUGGCGGAUACAACUGCAUCUAUUUCUACCAUAUGAGACGUAGCCUCAAUCAACCAUGAGCCUCCUUCCCUAAUUAGACCACUACCUCUCCCUGAUACCUUGACUGCCCUUCGAGUCCCUUCAAGCCUGCUUUUGACUUUAGUUCGCGUCUAACGGCUAUGUUACAAACGAAUCGAACUAGCAACCUCUUGUACCCACCUGGACCUGGUACCAGUACGGAGCACCUCGUCUACGUCCUUCAGGUCGAAACCUUCUACGUUGGUUCCUUCUCACGGAUGUUUCUAAUGUCUUGGCCUAACUCCACGGAAUACUAUCAGUUUUAUCUCUUGUAGUCCUUCGUGAGUUUCGGGAAACCGUACGAAGAAAAGGACCCUGACUUGAAGAUCCUGAUCAUAGUCUAGUUACCUUCCUCUACCCUACCGUUCCCUUUCUAGGUAGGUGUCUAAAGUCCCCACCACCGAAAUAGAGAAACCUCUUAAAUGAAAUGAAGCGAUUCUUGAUAGGUUUUAGGAAGCUCCUCGAGGAAACAUUCGUUUUACCACUGUCUCGUAAUACCCUUAUAGGUAAACGACAUCGACCUCAUUUAUAAUGUAAAUACGAGUAAGUCUACGAACUAGAAGUUCGUCGAUUCGGUUCCAGAAACUAACCUCGUCACAAGGAUUUAGAUGAAUAUCUUUUGCUAGCUCGAAAACUAUAAGAAAUGACGUAUUGGAAAUUCGACUACCUAGCCUUUACCGAACUUUACGUGCGGUGUAUAUACCUAAAAUUAUGACAAUAAUUUAGGUGUGCCGCGGUCGAACUCUCUCUCGAUAAUGAACUUCUAUAAGUCGUUUAACUCCUGUACGGCAGUAUGCCCAAAGAACGGGCAAUCGUUGACUUCAGAACGGAUUGUAGCGGUGCACAUCAUUUCAAGAACUGUGUACGAAGAUUUCUCACCUUACAUCCUUAGUCCCUGAGCACGAACACACCAAAAGCGAUAGCACGAAUCCAUGAGACUAUAGGACUCGCGUACAAACCCAGAAGAACCUAGACUGGAGAUCUCAUUGACCGAUGGACUUGUCGUCAACCCGGUACGAUCACGGCCAUCCUACAUGAAAGCCUUUGUUAAACAGGACCGCGCCUCAGAAGCACGAUCCUUAAUGCAUCAUUCAAGACUUUGAGGAGUCAUGAGUUCUGUUGAAACAUCGGUUCACGUAUUUACUAUAACCACGUGAGAACAAAACGUGAUUUGUGUGUGCAAAACACACUAAAUAGGU
RNAcentral lists this ribosomal RNA (2582 nucleotides) under Triticum aestivum (bread wheat). RNAcentral describes it as "partial small subunit ribosomal RNA". The record is from RNAcentral. Lineage: Eukaryota; Viridiplantae; Streptophyta; Magnoliopsida; Poales; Poaceae.